AAUGGGCGAAAGCCUGACGCAGCAACGCCGCGUGAGUGAUGAAGGCCUUCGGGUCGUAAAGCUCUGUCAGAAGGGAAGAAAUGGAAGGGUGUUAAUACCAUCUUUUCUUGACGGUACCUUCAAAGGAAGCACCGGCUAACUCCGUGCCAGCAGCCGCGGUAAUACGGAGGGUGCAAGCGUUGUUCGGAAUUAUUGGGCGUAAAGGGCGCGUAGGCGGUCUUGUAAGCCCGGCGUGAAAACCUGGGGCUCAACUCCGGGCCUGCGCUGGAACUGCGGGACUAGAGUCAUGGAAGGGAAGUUGGAAUUCCAGGUGUAGGGGUGAAAUCUGUAGAUAUCUGGAAGAACACCGGUGGCGAAGGCGAACUUCUGGCCAAUGACUGACGCUGAGGCGCGAAAGUGCGGGGAGCAAA
Molecule: ribosomal RNA, 410 nt
Filed under: uncultured bacterium
Lineage: Bacteria
Description: bacterial SSU rRNA
Rfam family: Bacterial small subunit ribosomal RNA
Source: RNAcentral